Brassica rapa (field mustard) is the source of this 2027-nucleotide long non-coding RNA. RefSeq lists it as uncharacterized. The record is from RefSeq and is a predicted model, not a curated record. Lineage: Eukaryota; Viridiplantae; Streptophyta; Magnoliopsida; Brassicales; Brassicaceae.
GAUCUUGCAGCGGCUCUAGAUGGUGUUGAUUUGAUGGAGGAGGAGUAUCAAGUCCUGAAUAGAUACGGCUCCGGUCAUCGACGCAACGAUGGUUUUUACAUUGGCAAAACAUCGGAGAAGCUGCAUCCUAUUGAGAACCCAGAAGACAUCAUUGUGCAGUCUGCUGGCCUUAUGGUCAGAGAGCUGUUUUGAAGUUUGCUGAUCAGUACAUUGGAGCUAAUACCAUUGCUGGAAAACACACUCCUGGUAUAUUCACCAAUCAGAUGCAUACAUUAUUCAGUGAGCCCAUGCUUCUGAUUCUUACUGAUCCACGUACCGACCACCCCGAUAUUCGUGUCGCUUACUUAGGCAAGGCAUAUAACAUAUGUGUAUAGAUGUGAUGAACUCAGAAAGAGGAUCCCAAAAUUCAAAGGUAUGGGAUUUCUCUAAGAUCUACAAUUGAUGUAAUUAGGCAGUGAAGGAGAAUAUUUUGAAUCAACUCACUAAAGUUGUGCAACUCGUGAAGCUAGAGAAAGAUCCAUGUGCUGCAUUUUGCUUUGAUCAUCGAUCCCAAAUAACACGUAUGCACUGGAUGAUGAUAUGAAGUAUCAUUAUCUGGCUUUGGCAGUCGAUUUCAGUCAUAUUUUAUCGUGUGUCUCCCAAGCAAAAAGCUCUGGUAAAAAAGUUAGUUGAAGAGGGAACUGGGAAAACUACAUUGGCAUAGUUGAUGAUGCAAAUGAUGUUGGAAUGAUUCAAGAAGCUGACACUGCUGUUUGCAUUAGUGGAUUCCAAAUAAUGCAGUUUAUGACUGCCCAGUUCAGGUUUCUGGAGAGAUUACUCAUGUUCAUGGAAACUGAGGCUAUAAAUGAAUAGCUCAAAUGUUAAUAUAUGUUUACAAUAAGUCUUAUUCUACUCUUACACAUUUUUGGUUUCUAACAUAUAUUAUUCAUUGUUCUGCAUCCAAAUAUGACAUUUCCUCCACAAAAAUAUAGCAUUUCCUCUCGCCCUCUUAUAUUCUGAGACGUUCACCGGUUCUUUUGACUGUUUGUAUGCGUCUUAAAACCUGUCACAGCUGAGCCACAAAGCUUCACUAACUAUCGCCCAACUUAUCUAAGUUCCCAGACGUCCGGCAAAAACCUUCUCAUCAGUACGAAGUUUGCAACUGUAGCUUCAGACAAAACAACUCUUCUUAUCAAUCAAGUCAUUCCGUUGUAUCACCAAAUUGAGCCUUGCAAGGAAUAGAACAGGAAGCUCAUCAAAAUUGCAGGAACCAAACAAUAUGAUUCAGUCAUAAAGAGAGCAAUAUAUCUGUGAAGUUUAAGAACCAGUGACUUUCUUGUCUACUACAUUAUCUGUCAAUGACAGACCAUCUCUCAGGUUUUCAUACUGAUGUAUCUGCAGCAAUGCGACUUAGUUUCCGUUGCAAGAAGAUCAAACCCGCAAUGUGUUUGCAUCCAAGGCCCGUCCACUACCACUGGACCGCAAGGUCCACUCAUUUUUUAAAAAGAUUUUCACCAACUUAAAUGUUCAUAUACUCUAUUCCUUAAUUUUCUAAGUUGGUGAUAUUGGCACCCGUAAAUCUUUAACCGAAUAUAGUAUAUGAUGAACACAGUAAAAACUAUAACUCGGUAUGAAUAUUAUCUAUAUGUGUUAUACAAAUUAAUAAAAUAUUGGCAUCCACAAAUAUUUGAAAAUUCAGAUUGAACAUUCAUAUAUGGAUACACAAAAAUACACAUAAGAAUGAUGAGAUUCAAAUAAUAAUGAAACCAUUUUAGUUAUCAAGAGGGGGGGGGGAAUCAUGGCUUGAUUAAUUGAAAAAAAUGAAACAAUCAUUUUUAUUUAAUGGUGAAUCUCUAUAAUAUUAUUUGAGAAGUCAGUUUCCUAUGUGUCGCUCUCAAGUUAACUCUCACGAUGGUUGAUUACACUGAUACCCUUAAUAAAUUAACUUACAUCUAAAAUACUAUUAUUUAUUAUUUUAUUUAGUUUCCUUUUUAAAAAAUUUCGAAAAAUAUACACAUAAAAUAAAAAGGAAAUAUUUUAUAAAGUUA